Molecule: ribosomal RNA, 467 nt
Filed under: uncultured bacterium
Lineage: Bacteria
Description: partial 16S ribosomal RNA
Rfam family: Bacterial small subunit ribosomal RNA
Source: RNAcentral
GAUGAACGCUGGCGGCGCGCCUAACACAUGCAAGUCGAACGAUUAAAGCACCUUCGGGUGUGUAUAAAGUGGCGAACGGCUGAGUAACACGUGGGCAACCUGCCCCUUUCAUUGGGAUAGCCACGGGAAACCGUGGAUAAUACCGAAUACUUCGAGACUUCCGCAUGGAAGACUCGAGAAAGCUCCGGCGGAGAGGGAUGGGCCCGCGGCCUGUUAGCUUGUUGGUGGGGUAACGGCCUACCAAGGCAAUGAUGGGUAGCUGGGUUGAGAGACCGACCAGCCAGAUUGGGACUGAGACACGGCCCAGACUCCUACGGGAGGCAGCAGUGGGGAAUCUUGCACAAUGGGCGAAAGCCUGAUGCAGCGACGCCGCGUGCGGGAUGAAGGCCUUCGGGUUGUAAACCGCUUUCAGCAGGGACGAGGCGAAAGUGACGGUACCUGCAGAAGAAGCCCCGGCUAACUACGUC